GGCGUAAAGGGUACGUUAGGCUUUUUUGUAUGUCUCCGGUUGAAUUCACAGGCUCAACUUGGGACUUGCCGGAAAACCUGCAGAGAUUGGAAUCCGGAAGGGGGAAAGCGGAAUUCCUGGUGUAGCGGUGAAAUGCGUAGAUAUCAGGAGGAACACCAGUGGCGAAGGCGGCUUUCUGGUCCGGAAUUGACGCUGAGGUACUAAAGCGUGGGUAGCAAACAGGAUUAGAUACCCUGGUAGUCCACGCCCUAAACGAUGGAUACUUGAUGUCGGGAUGUUCGGUCGUCUCGGUGUCGUAGCUAACGUGUUAAGUAUCCCGCCUGGGGACUACGGUCGCAAGACUGAAACUCAAAGGAAUUGACGGGGGCCCGCACCAGCGGUGGAACAUGUGGUUUAAUUCGAUGCAACGCGAAGAACCUUACCUGGGCUUGACAUAUAUAUGAAGUAUGUAAGAAAUUAUGUAUUCUGUCUGUUUUUUCAGAUAGCAUAUAUACAGGUGAUGCAUGGCUGUCGUCAGCUCGUGUCGUGAGAUGUAGGGUUAAGUCCCUUAACGAGCGCAACCCUUGCUUUUAGUUGCCAUCAGGUAAUGCUGGGGACUCUAGAAGGACUGCCGAGGUUAACUCGGAGGAAGGUGGGGAUGACGUCAAGUCAGUAUGUCCCUUAUGUCCAGGGCUACACACGUGUUACAAUGGACGGUACAGAGUGCAGCUACGCCGUGAGGCUACGCAAAUCACUUAAAGCCGUUCCCAGUUCGGAUUGGAGUCUGCAAUUCGACUCCAUGAAGUUGGAAUCGCUAGUAAUCGCAGAACAGCAUGCUGCGGUGAUACGUUCCCGGGCAUUGUACACACCGCCCGUCACGCCAUGGAAGUUGGGAGUACCCAAAGUUGCUGUC
Molecule: ribosomal RNA, 892 nt
Filed under: uncultured organism
Description: bacterial SSU rRNA
Rfam family: Bacterial small subunit ribosomal RNA
Source: RNAcentral